CCUGCAAUGACAAACCCAUGUGUGCAGACCAGGAAUCAGCCUCAAUAAGCUAAUAAUUGCAGAAGAGAAAAGCAGUCCUUCCAGGAAUGUGCCGGGAGAUGUGGAUCUCUGCCUUUUUUUGCCGUGAAAGUAGGCUGGCAAGUGGGGCAAGGUGGACAUCAUCAGUCUCCACGACACUACCAGGAGGAAUACUGUGUGAACGCUGCCAGCUCACCAUGGCUGAUUAGGAUGGUCUCUUCAUCACUCAACCUGACCCCAGCAACACAACAUGGAAAAGCAUCAAUUCAGCUCCUCCUUUUUGUCACAGAAUUUCACAAAGGGCUGGUAAGCAACAGUAGGAUGGGUUGACCCUGUCCAGGCAAGUGGAAGCAUAACGUUUGCUGUCAAUACUUUUCAUGAGAACUGAAUUGCAGCUUUUUCUCUCCCCGUCUCUCCCUUUCAGUUCUCCUUUGCCUUUGGAAAGUGCAACAGCAAGGAGACGAAUUGCCUGAUUGUGUGCUCCUCUUUCCCCCAACAUGCUGCACCAACAGCAGGGCUGGGGGAUGGAAAAGGAGCCCAGCUGCUUCUUGUGGGCUGUUCUCUCUCCACCCACCAGACACUUUAAAUCAGACGCAAAUUAACACCAACUCCUGGCAUCCUUUAUUAAUCGG
This 650-nucleotide long non-coding RNA is filed under the name Numida meleagris (helmeted guineafowl). RNAcentral's name for it is "lncRNA (ENSNMEG00000010087.1)". Lineage: Eukaryota; Metazoa; Chordata; Aves; Galliformes; Numididae. The record is from RNAcentral.